This 382-nucleotide ribosomal RNA is filed under the name Heterotrigona sp. MAC-2001. RNAcentral's name for it is "partial 16S large subunit ribosomal RNA". The record is from RNAcentral. Lineage: Eukaryota; Metazoa; Arthropoda; Insecta; Hymenoptera; Apidae.
CUCGUACAAAGGUAGCAUAAUCAAUUGGUUUUUAAAUGAAAUCUGGAAUGAAAGGAUUAACGAAAUAUAUACUGUCUCAUGUAUAUAAAGUGAAUUUAAAAUUUUAAUUAAAAUGUUAAAAUUUUUUUAUGGGACGAUAAGACCCUAUAGAAUUUUAUAUUGCUACAUUUUAAUACUUAAUAUAAAACAUGUAGUAAUAUUUGGUUGGGAGGACUAUUAAAUUUAACUAACUUUAAUUUUUGAUUACUUUGAUUUAAGAAAAUACAAUGAUCUUUAAAUUAAAAUAUCUAGAUUAAAUUACCUUAGGGAUAACAGCGUAAUAUUUUUUUAUAGAUCGUAUAGAAAAAAAUGAUUGCGACCUCGAUGUUGAAUUAAGAAAAAG